CUGCACAUUCCCAUUGCUCACCAGAGAUUCGAUGACUGACCCACUGGUUCUUUAUGCAAUAUUUUUCAGCUCAAACCCAAACCAUCUCACAGAAACCCUCUGCUCUGCCAGUGCUGCUGAAGAAGACACGAGCCUGAAGAGUACAUGAAGAGCUGAUGCCAAAUUAAAGCCUCUGGUUGGAGAAACUACCUCUGGAUCUCACAUAGCCUUGAACUCAGGGGGACCCACUGCAGGUUGGGAGCAGGGAGGUCUGACACUCACCCAGAGGGAUGACACACACCAGCACCAGCCUGCACAGCCCUACCUUUCUUUUUGCUUUUUCCCAGCCAUUCUGAAACCUGUGUUAAGCCACAACGAACACCCACAGCCUUAGGCACGGGAGGGUGCCAGCAGGUAACACCAGCUCAACCUGGCCGCAGGGGCAGGAACAGAGGAUACCCACACUGCCAUCCCAGCUCUGCCAGCUGCUGGAAGAGACCCCUCCAUCCCUUCAGCGUGACUCAGGACCCACAUUGUCUUCAGUCCGCUUGGUUGAAUUAACUUAGGCUGGCAGGCCAGGCUGUCUGAGGUGCUGCAGGAAUGACAACAUGAGCAAGACAGCCUUGGUAGGAUUGUUAAAAGCUCCAAGGCAAGACAGGACUUUUCUGGGGGCAAAACACUUGUGAAAUUGAAGAUCCUAUAGCUCUCAGAAGAAACAGCAUGACUCCAGCUCCGAAAUCACAGCAAAAGCUGAUUUUUGAAUUUACCCUUUCAGAAAUGCCUAAUAAUUCUGGUAUUGCCCCUUUCAGAGAUGCAUCUGGUCAAGCCAAUGGCCAGGUUUAAAAAACACAUACCAUGACAUAAAGCAUCCCUCAGCAGAGAGCCACCUCAUCCCUUGUUCUCUUCAACACUGAUGGUGUAAAGCCCACGUUCAGUGGUUUCUCUUUAUGCCGCCUCGAAGAGCCCACAUCAUCCAAAGGUUGUGUUUUCAUUUUUAAAAGGGCAGAAACAGAUCACAGAGGAAGAGCUGGAAGGAUUUUCCCAGCCAUGUGCCAUAGAGCGUUAGCUGGAAAAGCAGUAAGGGAAUGGUCCUCUGUUGGACCAUGUUCAUUUAGAAAGUAAGUCAAGGAUUGAUUUCCGAUCUCCUGUUAAGAGUGUUCCAGCACCCAACCUCAUUUAUCUUCAUACUGCAGCCAUUUGUAAGAGCAUAUACUACACGCACACAAAGCUCAGCAGCAAAGGAGAACGGAACAAAAGAGUAAUAACCAAGGCAAAAGGCUGACAUUAACAGGCACAAAUUGCCUUUAAACCCAUGACUUCAGAGGGAGCUUUUCGGAAUCGUUUGUUUCUUCAGCAAAAGAUGGGUUAGAUCCAAAGCAUUUAAUAAAACUCGCUGACUCCUAC
This is a long non-coding RNA of Athene cunicularia (burrowing owl), 1383 nucleotides long. RefSeq lists it as uncharacterized. NCBI's taxonomy places the organism in Eukaryota, Metazoa, Chordata, Aves, Strigiformes, Strigidae. The record is from RefSeq and is a predicted model, not a curated record. The transcript is spliced from 2 exons.